RNAcentral lists this ribosomal RNA (2538 nucleotides) under Escherichia coli. RNAcentral describes it as "partial 23S ribosomal RNA". It matches the Rfam family "Bacterial large subunit ribosomal RNA", at positions 1 to 2555 of the family's 2925-position model. The record is from RNAcentral. Lineage: Bacteria; Pseudomonadati; Pseudomonadota; Gammaproteobacteria; Enterobacterales; Enterobacteriaceae.
GGGUUGUGAGGUUAAGCGACUAAGCGUACACGGUGGAUGCCCUGGCAGUCAGAGGCGAUGAAGGACGUGCUAAUCUGCGAUAAGCGUCGGUGAGGUGAUAUGAACCGUUAUAACCGGCGAUUUCCGAAUGGGGAAACCCAGUGUGUUUCGACACACUAUCAUUAACUGAAUCCAUAGGUUAAUGAGGCGAACCGGGGGAACUGAAACAUCUAAGUACCCCGAGGAAAAGAAAUCAACCGAGAUUCCCCCAGUAGCGGCGAGCGAACGGGGAGGAGCCCAGAGCCUGAAUCAGUGUGUGUGUUAGUGGAAGCGUCUGGAAAGGCGUGCGAUACAGGGUGACAGCCCCGUACACAAAAAUGCACAUAUUGUGAGCUCGAUGAGUAGGGCGGGACACGUGGUAUCCUGUCUGAAUAUGGGGGGACCAUCCUCCAAGGCUAAAUACUCCUGACUGACCGAUAGUGAACCAGUACCGUGAGGGAAAGGCGAAAAGAACCCCGGCGAGGGGAGUGAAAAAGAACCUGAAACCGUGUACGUACAAGCAGUGGGAGCCUCUUAAUGGGGUGACUGCGUACCUUUUGUAUAAUGGGUCAGCGACUUAUAUUCUGUAGCAAGGUUAACCGAAUAGGGGAGCCGAAGGGAAACCGAGUCUUAACUGGGCGUUAAGUUGCAGGGUAUAGACCCGAAACCCGGUGAUCUAGCCAUGGGCAGGUUGAAGGUUGGGUAACACUAACUGGAGGACCGAACCGACUAAUGUUGAAAAAUUAGCGGAUGACUUGUGGCUGGGGGUGAAAGGCCAAUCAAACCGGGAGAUAGCUGGUUCUCCCCGAAAGCUAUUUAGGUAGCGCCUCGUGAAUUCAUCUCCGGGGGUAGAGCACUGUUUCGGCAAGGGGGUCAUCCCGACUUACCAACCCGAUGCAAACUGCGAAUACCGGAGAAUGUUAUCACGGGAGACACACGGCGGGUGCUAACGUCCGUCGUGAAGAGGGAAACAACCCAGACCGCCAGCUAAGGUCCCAAAGUCAUGGUUAAGUGGGAAACGAUGUGGGAAGGCCCAGACAGCCAGGAUGUUGGCUUAGAAGCAGCCAUCAUUUAAAGAAAGCGUAAUAGCUCACUGGUCGAGUCGGCCUGCGCGGAAGAUGUAACGGGGCUAAACCAUGCACCGAAGCUGCGGCAGCGACACUAUGUGUUGUUGGGUAGGGGAGCGUUCUGUAAGCCUGUGAAGGUGGCCUGUGAGGGUUGCUGGAGGUAUCAGAAGUGCGAAUGCUGACAUAAGUAACGAUAAAGCGGGUGAAAAGCCCGCUCGCCGGAAGACCAAGGGUUCCUGUCCAACGUUAAUCGGGGCAGGGUGAGUCGACCCCUAAGGCGAGGCCGAAAGGCGUAGUCGAUGGGAAACAGGUUAAUAUUCCUGUACUUGGUGUUACUGCGAAGGGGGGACGGAGAAGGCUAUGUUGGCCGGGCGACGGUUGUCCCGGUUUAAGCGUGUAGGCUGGUUUUCCAGGAAAAUCCGGAAAACCAAGGCUGAGGCGUGAUGACGAGGCACUACGGUGCUGAAGCGACAAAUGCCCUGCUUCCAGGAAAAGCCUCUAAGCAUCAGGUAACAUCAAAUCGUACCCAAAACCGACACAGGUGGUCAGGUAGAGAAUACCAAGGCGCUUGAGAGAACUCGGGUGAAGGAACUAGGCAAAAUGGUGCCGUAACUUCGGGAGAAGGCACGCUGAUAUGUAGGUGAAGCGACUUGCUCGUGGAGCUGAAAUCAGUCGAAGAUACCAGCUGGCUGCAACUGUUUAUUAAAAACACAGCACUGUGCAAACACGAAAGUGGACGUAUACGGUGUGACGCCUGCCCGGUGCCGGAAGGUUAAUUGAUGGGGUUAGCGGUAACGCGAAGCUCUUGAUCGAAGCCCCGGUAAACGGCGGCCGUAACUAUAACGGUCCUAAGGUAGCGAAAUUCCUUGUCGGGUAAGUUCCGACCUGCACGAAUGGCGUAAUGAUGGCCAGGCUGUCUCCACCCGAGACUCAGUGAAAUUGAACUCGCUGUGAAGAUGCAGUGUACCCGCGGCAAGACGGAAAGACCCCGUGAACCUUUACUAUAGCUUGACACUGAACAUUGAGCCUUGAUGUGUAGGAUAGGUGGGAGGCUUUGAAGUGUGGACGCCAGUCUGCAUGGAGCCGACCUUGAAAUACCACCCUUUAAUGUUUGAUGUUCUAACGUUGGCCCGUAAUCCGGGUUGCGGACAGUGUCUGGUGGGUAGUUUGACUGGGGCGGUCUCCUCCUAAAGAGUAACGGAGGAGCACGAAGGUUGGCUAAUCCUGGUCGGACAUCAGGAGGUUAGUGCAAUGGCAUAAGCCAGCUUGACUGCGAGCGUGACGGCGCGAGCAGGUGCGAAAGCAGGUCAUAGUGAUCCGGUGGUUCUGAAUGGAAGGGCCAUCGCUCAACGGAUAAAAGGUACUCCGGGGAUAACAGGCUGAUACCGCCCAAGAGUUCAUAUCGACGGCGGUGUUUGGCACCUCGAUGUCGGCUCAUCACAUCCUGGGGCUG